This 328-nucleotide ribosomal RNA is filed under the name uncultured Bacteroidota bacterium. RNAcentral's name for it is "bacterial SSU rRNA". It matches the Rfam family "Bacterial small subunit ribosomal RNA", at positions 28 to 351 of the family's 1533-position model. Lineage: Bacteria; Pseudomonadati; Bacteroidota. The record is from RNAcentral.
GAUGAACGCUAGCGGGAGGCUUAACACAUGCAAGUCGAGGGGCAGCACGGGGUAGCAAUAUCCUGGUGGCGACCGGCGCACGGGUGAGUAACGCGUAUGCAACCUACCCUGUACAGGGGGAUAGCCCGGAGAAAUUCGGAUUAAUACCCCAUAAAGAUAUUGAGAGGCAUCUUUUGAUAUUUAAAGAUUUAUCGGUACGGGAUGGGCAUGCGUAACAUUAGCUAGUUGGUAGGGUAACGGCCUACCAAGGCAACGAUGUUUAGGGGUCCUGAGAGGGUGAUCCCCCACACUGGUACUGAGACACGGACCAGACUCCUACGGGAGGCUG